AAAAAGUAAAAGGCAAAUUUGAUGUUAUAUGAAUUUUAUCUCAAUUGUUUAAAUUGCAAAAAAAAAGUCAAUGUUCCAAUUAAGAGCAUUAUGGUAUCACAGUAUGGCCAUAAGGAGAAUAAGAAAUGGGUUCUCAAUCAUAAAGAUGUCACAUUACAAGAGGCAAGGGAAAUUCUGGUAAGGGCAUUUAAGGGCACAUUAAAGGAUAAAAUUGCUGUUGCUGUUAAAACAUGUCAAGAACAUCUUCCCUAGGAACUGAAAUUAAAAUUUUUACUAGAAGCCAAAAUCCUCAAGCAAUAUAAUCAUCCCAGUACUGUCAAACGUAUAGGAGUUCGCACACAAAGACGGCCUAUCUACGUCAUUAAGGAACUGGUUCCAGGAGGCGAUUUCCUCUCCUUUCUGAGAAAGAAGAAUGAACUAAAACUCAGUUAGUGAAAUUUUCAUUAGAUGCUGAUUCUGGAUGGCGUAUCUCGAGUAAAAAAUGUAUACACAGGGACCUUGCUGUAAGAAACUGCCUGGAGGGGAAAAUAAUGUCCUGAAAAUUGAAAAUCAGUGACUUUGGAAUGUCUCGUCAAGAGGAUGGUGGUGUGUAUUCAUCUUCUGACUUAAAGCAGAUUCCCAUUAAAUGGACAGCAACAGAAGCUCUUAAUUAUGGGAGAUAUCAUUCUGAGAGUGCCGCAUGGAGCUUUGGCAUCCUCCUCUGGGAGACUUUCAGCUUAGGGGGUCUGUCCAUAGCCUGGAAUGACAAAUCAGCAAGCACAAGAACAAGUGGAAAGAAGAUACUGGAUGUCAGUCUCUUGGCAGUAUCCACAGAGUAUUUUAAUAAAAUAAUGCUGAGGUGUUAGGAUUACAAACUUGAAAACCGCCCCCAAGUCUACUGAACUUCAGAAAGAGAUAGCUGCCAUCAAGAAGAAAGUUGCAUAGUGAUGAAACAGUGCCAAACUCAGCCUUCAGGACUCUAUUUUCAGCAGAGCAGUAUUUUUCUUCUUAUUAACAUUUAUACCACAUUACCUGCAACAUUCUCCCAAGUGUUUUAUUAACUAUUUUUUAAAAAUAUGUGCUGCUUUAACCAUUGUAAAUAAGAAAGUAUAAGUUCCAAAUGUAAGGGAUCACACAGAUCUAUCUUUUUCACAUCUAGGACUGUUACUGUUUCUCAAAAAUUUUCUACUCUAGGCUCAGUUCAUAGUCUGCUGUUCUCCAUCACAGACACCUAUUGGUGCUAUAAGCUGUAUUGAUAAUAUCACAUACCACAUUUGUAGGACACAUCUCAACAGAAGAUGGCCUUCCUACUCUGCUGAGACAACAUUAUAUUUGUGAACGCCAUUUUAUAUUGGUAAUUAUCUGGACCUCCUAAGUUGUUUGGUUUUUUUUUUCUUUUUGGCCAGAGAUAGGUCCUGUUUUGUCAGUAAGACUGCCAUUUCCCUAUGUUUCACAAUGCCGUCCUAUGCACAAACAUCCUCAAAGAGUUGAGGCAGCUGACUUUAACUGAUGUUACAGAGAGCUGUAACAGCAAGAAUCAAGUUUGAAAAGUAAGGUGGUCUGGAGAAAGGAACAGCUAGGGUGGUGAUCAAAGUAGAGAAGAAAAGGCAAACAUAAAACCAGCCUUCUUAACAGAGGUAUGCCUUUAUAAAACACAUACACGCUUUUUAAUUUUAUGAUCAAAUUCACCAAAAAGGUCCUAAGAAAUGUUUUAGUAGUUUAUAUAAAUUAAAGAGCCCUCUGGAUGGCAACCAAACAAUUCUUAAGAGAAACUAUGAAAUACAAGCCCACCAAAAUAAUAUAUUAUUUUUGGUUAAGCAUCUUCACUUCAAAGGAAGCAUCCCAGAACUGCAUUCCAUGCAUUUUUACUAGUGUCUGAAACUGUCAGGAUUUUAUUCUCAUUCUCUCGCUCUUUUCACAUAAACCCCAGGUAGAAAGGCAUAUAAGGAUGAACUUGACAUUUAAAAAGUCAAACAAAUAUUUAUAAGGAAGAAGGAAGUUAUGAGGAGAAAGACAUGGGGACAGCCAUCCUAAAUCCACUUUACUCCUUCAUUUACCCUUAUAUUGCAACCUAGGAAUUCUUAUAGCAAACAGAGUUCCUGAGAUGUUCCACGUGGAUAAAAUGUAACAGAGUUAAGACGUGGAUUCCGUUGAGCUGAAUCUUAACUGCACCCAGGAAUGCUUUUCAGGAUAAUUAUGUGUGUAGGGGAAAGACACACUCAGGGCAAAUGUUGCAUGGAAGCUCAUGCCCAUGUCAAAAUUUUAAAAAACAGCAUAUAAAUGAAUACUUGCUCUACUGUAAAUGGAAGAGCAAGGAAAUAGAAAAUUUCUCCUGCCCUCUUCAACUGUUUGGUGCCUAUGAAUAUCAGUGCACAAAACCUAUACUCAGUAUUUUUUUUAAAGUAUAAAAGUUGAUAAUGAAGACAGAAAUGAUUUGUGUCUGUCAUUUCAAGCUCCUAACAAGAGUCUAGUAUACAUUUAAUGGUUACUACAUACAGACCAAAAUGAGAGCAUAUUAAAUCUGCCCUCGAAAAAUAAGUUGCAGCAAAUAAGCAAGCUCUUUUAAAUCAGUAUAGGUUUCCCUCCUAUAAAAUGGUGUGUUUGGUGGCAAAAAAAGUCAAUGUUGCACUUAUACAGAGAUAUUAAAUGUUUCUCUGGCAUCAAUGUGAACAUUGAUGAGUUCCCUAUCCCAUACCCUUUCCCAAUACCUAUCGUCAACAUCUAGGAAUAAGCCUCAAAAUGGCAAUGCAUUCCUAAAACAAGAAAUCUUUAGGAGCUUAGGUCAGUUUCCAAGUAUGAACUGAAGGGAAAACAAAACAAAAAAAAGGCUUAGAGCUGGAAUUACAAAAUCAAUUGUCUACAGAGGCCAAGAAUGUAAUGAAAACAAAAGAAAUGAGCUGAGUGGGGACUGACUGAGGUGAACUGUUUUUAAAAAGGCCCUUGCUCUAUUCUAAAGGGGGGCGGCACCUAGACAAGUCUAGCCGAAAUCAGGACAUAAUGAUGCUAUGCAAAAAUCAGAACACAAUGUUACCAGAUGUUCCAAUCCUUCAAGAAAAACUGAAAUUUGGAUUUUGUCAAUUCUGAUUUUUAAAAACAAACAGAUUUUUAAAAUUUUGAAAUACUGUGUGAGGUUAAGAAGGUGCAUUUUGCUGGCGGUGGUGGCUCACAUGUGUAAUCGCACCACUUUGAGAGGCAGAGGCAGGAGGAUUACUUGAGCCCAUGAGUUC
Nomascus leucogenys (northern white-cheeked gibbon) is the source of this 3206-nucleotide RNA transcript. It is a transcript of the gene named tyrosine-protein kinase Fer pseudogene, with no coding region annotated. The record is from RefSeq and is a predicted model, not a curated record. NCBI's taxonomy places the organism in Eukaryota, Metazoa, Chordata, Mammalia, Primates, Hylobatidae. The transcript has a single exon.